UCGAAUUUUAAAACCAUGGUUUUCUAACUCUAUUAUGUUUAGAUUAUUCUAUUUAGUUAAAUUUUGAUUAUGCCUAAUCUAAUUAAGAUAUUUCUAGUCUUAAUAUAUUUGAAUUUCUAGUUAUAUUAGAAUUUAGCCACUAUUAUAAAUGUAUUUUUAUUCUAUUAAUUUAGUACAGCAGAUGAGAGAAAGUAUAAGUUUUUGUAAGAGGCAUAUUUUAUACAUUAUUUCGAUUAUAAUGAAAAUUUUUGCUCCGUCUUCGUAUGUGAACGUAGGCCUACGAUUGAAUUACGUAAAUAUUGUGUUCUUUAUUUUUCUCUUCUCUUGCUCUAUUCUCUUUUAAUAUUUUUACACCCGACGAACUAAAUCUUUUCUUCUUUUAUCGCAACAAUUUUCAAUCAUGGAGCUCUUAUA
This 414-nucleotide long non-coding RNA is filed under the name Ananas comosus (pineapple). RNAcentral describes it as "long non-coding RNA (ACOM_LNC018639)". The record is from RNAcentral. Lineage: Eukaryota; Viridiplantae; Streptophyta; Magnoliopsida; Poales; Bromeliaceae.